AGAACGAACGCUGGCGGCAGGCUUAACACAUGCAAGUCGAACGGAUAUACGAUGGGGCUUGCUCUAUCGUGUGUUAGUGGCAAACGGGUGAGUAACACGUGGGAAUCUACCUUGUAGUACGGGAUAACUUACGGAAACGUAAGCUAAUACGGUAUACGCCCUCCGGGGGAAAGAUUUAUCGCUAUAAGAUGAGCCCGCGUCAGAUUAGCUAGUUGGUGGGGUAAUGGCCUACCAAGGCGAUGAUCUGUAGCUGGUCUGAGAGGAUGACCAGCCACACUGGGACUGAGACACGGCCCAGACUCCUACGGGAGGCAGCAGUGGGGAAUAUUGGACAAUGGGCGCAAGCCUGAUCCAGCCAUGCCGCGUGGGUGAUGAAGGCCUUCGGGUUGUAAGCCUUUCAGUGGGAAAGAUAAUGACGGUACCCACAGAAGAAGCUCCGGCUAACUCCGCGCCAGCAGCCGC
This 462-nucleotide ribosomal RNA is filed under the name uncultured bacterium. RNAcentral describes it as "SSU rRNA". It matches the Rfam family "Bacterial small subunit ribosomal RNA", at positions 26 to 518 of the family's 1533-position model. The record is from RNAcentral.